RNAcentral lists this ribosomal RNA (4854 nucleotides) under Triticum aestivum (bread wheat). Its description in RNAcentral is "partial small subunit ribosomal RNA". The record is from RNAcentral. Lineage: Eukaryota; Viridiplantae; Streptophyta; Magnoliopsida; Poales; Poaceae.
AUGGUCGCCCCCGGCGCCCUCUCCUCCGUCCGCUGGAACUGGAACUGGAACUGGAAGCAAGCGCCACUCAGCAGGUCAGCUCUCGUCCGUUCUGCCCGCGCCCUGCAGCUAGGCCUCCCUGUCAGUCGGCCCCCAUCACCGGCAGACCAGUACCUCGUGCGCGCGAGUCAGCGUCGUACAUCCUUGCAUCUGAUGGGAAUGUACGCGGCGCUCCGUGCGGCGCAAUGGGUGGUGGGCAAGGCACUAGCCCCCGUUGCCAAUGGCAUGCUAGGGGCUUGGGCAGCCACCAAGAACUUUGGUCCCAACGUCGAUGCCCUCAGCACAGAGUUGCUGCUCGUGAAGGCCACGCUUGAGCAAGCUGCCUACAAGGAGCUUGGAGGCCCGGCAAUGGAGAUGCUGCUGCAGAAGCUGCAGGACUCAGCGCAGAAUGCUGAAGACUUGUUGGAUGAGCUGGACUACUUUCGCAUCCACGAUGAGCUCCAUGGCACACACGAUGCUGCCGACCAGCACGGCGAAGGUGGCGUGCACAACCUCGCCCUCAAUGCUCGGCACACCGCCAAAGCUGUUGGCAAACUGGUCAACUGUUGCCCUUGGCAGCGUUCUAAGCGCCGACAGAGCUCACACGACGAUUCCUCCUCAGCGCAAGAUGCCAAUCAGGUGGUCAGGGGAUGCAUGCCCAAGCUCGGUAAACUCCUACCUUGCACAUUUUCCCCACAUUCACAUGUUCAUGGUGAUGAUGACGAUCAUGGCAAUGGGCAAGAAACACCAAAACUUGAGUUUAAUAGGGUUGAUUUCUCUCAAAGGAUGAAGGAUACUGUAGGGAAACUGCAGCUUAUGCGUAAUGAGAUUAACAAGAUUUUGCAGGGUUGUAGCCUUAGAACUGUCUCAAAUAUAGCCCAGAGCCGUCCCAUCACCAAAGGUCGAAUUGAUGAGCCAAAAUUGUACGGGAGGGACCGUGUCAUGAAUAGCACCAUACAUGAUAUCACCAAUGGUCAGUACUGUGGCAAGGGGCUAACUGUGCUUCCGGUUGUUGGUCCAGGGGGAGUGGGGAAGACAACUCUGAUACAACACAUAUAUGACAACCAACAAGUGCAGGAUCAUUUUCCAGUCAUGAUUUGGAUAUUUGUGUCCCUCGAUUUCAAUCUGGACAAGGUGCUAGAACAGAUUAAAAGAUCUACCCCUCAAGUUAGAAGUGAAAAAAAGUGCAGUACAACAGAAGAGUUGAUUGAAGAGAGAUUAAAAUCUAAAAGGUUCUUACUUGUCUUGGACGAUAUAUGGCGGAUUAGUAAUGGGGAUGACUGGGGGAAAUUAUUGUCAACACUCAAUCAAUCACAAGAAAAGGGUUGUAUCAUUCUAAUCACAACUCGGUUUCAAUCAAUAGCACAGAAUGUUAAAACAACUGCCGAGUCAAUAGAACUGGGUGGUUUAGAAUCUAAAGAGUUUAGGAAGUUAUUCCUUGCAUUUGUCUUUGGCAGUGAGCAAUGUGGAAAGGAUAAACAUUUUUUGCUUGAGACUGGAGAUAAGAUAAUGGAAAAACUAAAGGGAUCCCCUCUUGCAGCAAAGACCGUUGGUAGAUUAUUGAGUAAAGAUCUUAGUUUGUGUCAUUGGAAAAGGGUCCUAAAAAGCAAAGAAUGGGAGAAGCAGACCGAUGGCAAUGGAAUUAUGCCUGCCUUGAAGCUUAGCUAUGACUUUCUUCCUUUCCAUCUGCAACAAUGUUUUUUCUAUUCUGCAUUGUUUCCUGAAGAUUACCAUUUCAGAAGCCGUGAGCUCAUCAAUCUGUGGAUCGGACUAGAUAUUUUGAUACCUGGUGGUCAAAACCAAACAUGUGAAGAUAUAGGUUUGAGCAAUCUAAAUGCUUUAGUCAUCCAUGGAUUUUUUAGAGAAGAGGAAACUUCUGCUGGUCCGCGUUAUGUUAUGCAUGACCUACUGCAUGAUUUGGCAUUGAAGGUUGCAUCACAUGAUUGUCUUAGUUUACAUCUCCCUAAUGAUGGAUCAGUAGAAGUUCAGCCAUCAAUCCGUCACUUGUCUAUAAGCACAGAGGACUUAGUGAAAUAUGAUGCAGUGUCCAGUGAAAAGUUAAGGAGUGAAUUGGAAGAAAUAAAGACAAGAUUGAAGGUUGAACAUUUGCAUACACUGAUGUUAUUUGGAAAAAUGGAUGAAAGUUUUGCUGAGAUAUUUGGUGAUUUCUUUGGGGAAGCAAACGCUCUUCGUGUUCUUUAUUUGCCCAACAUGAUGUAUCCUGUGCAGUCCAUGUUACAUAACUUUUCAGGACUUGUCCACCUACGAUGCCUAUGUCUAGGGACAAGGGUGAGACAGAUGCAUUUACCAAUUAGCAUCUCCAAAUUCUACCAUUUAAGGAUUCUAGACCUUGUGUCAUGGGAAGGGAGUCGUGAUUUGCCUGAAGACAUGAGCAACCUUGCAAAGUUGUGCCAUAUUCAUAUUCGUUUUCAUCAGCGUCAUUCUGAUAUUUGUAAUGUGGGGAAAUUUAAACUCUUGGAAGAGUUAAAUGUAUUUCGAGUCCAUGAAGAAAGUAAAGGAUUUGAACCAAGUCAACUAGAGCAUUUGACCAAGCUAAGGGAGCUUGGCAUCUACAACCUUGAGAAAAUACAUACAAUAGAAGAAGCAGCUGAAGCAAAACUGAUAGAGAAAAACUACUUGAAGAGGUUAGCAUUGGUUUGGGAUAGUGGGCGCUCUAGUGUUGAGCCUGUUAUGGAAGCAUUGGUUCUUGAGAGCCUUCAACCCCAUGAAGAUAUCCAAGUGUUGUGCAUUAGAGGGCACAGAGGCCCUUCUUGUCCAACAUGGCUGGGUGAUGAGUUUGCUGUUGAAGGUCUACAAUCUCUUUAUCUUUAUGGUGUUUCUUGGGAAAUUUUCCCUUCUUUAGGGAAGGCGUGGGAUCUUCAUGAACUAAGGUUGGUGGAUAUUGCCAGACCGAAGGUGUUUGUUAUAGAGAAAAGCUUUUGCAUGCUAAUAAAGCUUGAACUCAUUGGCCUAGCAAGUUUUGAGAAAUGGGUUCUCCCAGCUGAACAUGCUCAUAUGUUCCCUCUUUUGCAACGGUUGACUAUAAGAAAGUGCCCGAGAUUAUUGGGGUUGCCUUUUUCAAACCACAUUGCUUCCCCAUAUUGGUUUCCCAAACUACAACAUGUUGAUAUACAGGACUGUCCAGAAUUCUCGUCAGUGAUUCCCAUCUCCUGGGUUGAAAGGAUUGAAAGUCUGCGUCUUGUCACGAUUAGAAGCGUCAAGCUACUAAAGUGGUUUCAAUACUCAAAAUCAGCCGAUGGAGUAAAAUUGGCAAUUUUUGGAAAAUGUGAUCUAUAUAGCUUAGAUCAAGUGUUAGUUUUUUAUAAGGAGGCAGGCCUUGAGAAGCUAGCACUCAAGAGGUGCCCACCUCUAGAAUUGAAGCACCUUCUGAUGCUAACCUCGUUGAAGACAUUGUUUGUAGAAGAAUCAGAUGGUCUGGUUGGACCACUAGGUGGCCAGGGUGAUGUGGAAUGGCAGCUCCCUGUUGAGCAUAUCAAGAUCGAGCGCUUAAACGGUAAUAGUGGGAAGGAAUUGACAGAGCUCCUCCCCCAUCUCCCAAGGCUCUCCAAAUUGGAAAUAAAGUUUUGUGGCAACAUAAAACAGCCAGUGCUGCUACAAACAACAGUGAUGGAGAAAGAUGAAAUAACAGCAGCAGAACAGGAAGAGGAUAAUGGGGUGGAUGUGCAACAAACAACAUCAGAAGCAUCAAAGAUGGGAGGAGGUGAAAUAACAGCAGCAACAGAGGAAGAGGAUGAGGAAGAUGAAUUGACGACAUCAGAAGCGGAAGCGGAAGAGGAAGAGGAAGAUGAAUUGACGGCAUCGGGAGAGGAAGAGGAUGAGGAAGAUGAAUUGAAGUCAUCAGAAGAGGAAGAGGAUGAGGAAGAUGAAUUGAAGUCAUCAGAAGAGAAAGAGGAUGAGGAAGAUGAAUUGACGGCAUCAGAAGAGAAAGAGGAUGAUGGGGUGCUGCUCUUCCCAGCUCAUCUCUUUGACUUACUACAGGAGUUGGUCAUCUAUGAUUGCCCAGAGAUGGUCCUGAUGAACCCACCAACUCUUGUUCCUGGAGGAGGAUGGUUCCAAGCCUUGAGAUCUCUCCAGAGAUUAAGUAUACAGCUCUCCCCAAAGUUUCUGUCUGCCUUCUCGUUUUCCCGUCACCUUUUCCCUUCCUCCCUGCAGUUUGUGGCGCUUUGGGGUGUGGAAGACAUGGGGACACUGGAGCCCCUCUCAAACCUCUCCUUUCUUACCAGAUUGGAAUUGAUUGGUUGCGGAAAAGAUCUGAAAUGUCAGGGCUUGCGCUCUCUCCUUACCACCAGGGGCCAGCUCGACGAAUUAAGAGUCUUUGGCAGCACUAUGUUCUUUGCUGGUUGGGAUCCCAAUCCUAGGCGGUCUUUGGGGGGUGUCGAGGGAGAAGAAGAGCAGCAGACACAACUUGUUUCAUCCACACUGCAGAAGCUCAGCACUGAUGACGCAGCGGGACUCCUUGCUGCACCCAUCUGCAGCUUCCUCUCUUCCUCCCUCACCAAGCUGGAACUUCAUGGGGAUGGGUCUGAAGGGAUGAAGUGCUUCAGCAAGGAGCAGGAGGAUGCCCUUCAGCUCCUCUCCUCCCUCCAGCUACUUAAGUUUCAUGGUUUCAACGACCUUCAACAACUCCCCGCAGGGCUGCGCAACAUUACCAGCCUCAAGAUAUUAUCAAUCGAAUUCUGUCGAGCCAUCUCAUCGUUGCCCAAGGAUGGCCUCCCUGAUUCACUCCAAGAGCUACAUGUCAAAUACAGCUGCCUGAAGCUAACACUGCAGUGCAGGGGGUUAGAGGGAAUCAUCCCAGAAAUCGAUAUACGCUGA